ACCAAUGUCUGGUAUUAUGAUCCGGCCUACUAAGUAACACGGGUUAGUGGGGUCUAUUGAGUUUCUCAUUUUCUUUUUCCAUCUUCACUUUACCAAUAAUAAGCAUUUCUCAAUCUGGAAAAUAAAUUAUACUAUUCAAAAACCUAUCUAUCUUCAGCAGCUAUGUACAACCUGAGGCCUCACUCUUCUAAUCGAAGUUUCUUCAUCAAUCAAACCAUUCCAGCUGGUUACUCAGUUCCGCCUACGAGUCUUACAAAUGAGGUAUUGGGUAUUCCACGACAGAGAUUUUAGAAUUACAGAGAAAUGCGAGAAGUUAUUACCAUAGAAGUCGAGAAGGAGAAGAAGAGAAAUCGAAUCACAAACUAAUAGUAUGGAGAGAUAAUUGCUGCCACGGGGAAGCGAAUACGGAUUGAUCGGAGCCUCGAUUUCACUGCCAAUGCUGUGGUUUUUUGCGCCUCCACCAAGCGACUACGGAUUGAUCGGAGAUUCCAUUGUGCCGCAGCCGAACGGCGGAAUGUCUGUGGAGGAGAAAUUGGCAAGGAAUUGUAAGAAGAGAUUGGUGGAAAAGGCCCUCGCCGCACGACAACAGCGGUAUGGCAGUUAGAUUGAUGCAAUGACAACAAUAACAUAUUCAAUAUAGUUUCACUACCUUUGUAAGGUAGAGAGCCUGUUAUAGAAAAUCGUGUUUCAAAACUGGUUUGAAAGAAGAUGUUGCAUUGACAAUGUAUGCCUUAAUGGUAGAGAGCCUCUUGUAUACGAGGUAAGACUACGUAUAAUAGGUCCUUGUGGUCCGAUCCUUUCCCGUACUCCACACAUUACGAGAGUUUUAGUACACCGAACUACCAUUUUAAUGGUAUAAAGAAAAAUAAAACAUCCUCUGUUUUAUUCU
Molecule: long non-coding RNA, 889 nt
Organism: Capsicum annuum
Lineage: Eukaryota; Viridiplantae; Streptophyta; Magnoliopsida; Solanales; Solanaceae
Exons: 2
Source: RefSeq, a predicted model, not a curated record